This 910-nucleotide ribosomal RNA is filed under the name Modestobacter roseus. RNAcentral's name for it is "bacterial SSU rRNA". It matches the Rfam family "Bacterial small subunit ribosomal RNA", at positions 526 to 1434 of the family's 1533-position model. Lineage: Bacteria; Bacillati; Actinomycetota; Actinomycetes; Geodermatophilales; Geodermatophilaceae. The record is from RNAcentral.
CGUAGGGUGCAAGCGUUGUCCGGAAUUAUUGGGCGUAAAGAGCUCGUAGGCGGUCUGUCGCGUCGGCUGUGAAAACCCGAGGCUCAACCUCGGGCCUGCAGUCGAUACGGGCAGACUGGAGUACUGCAGGGGAGACUGGAAUUCCUGGUGUAGCGGUGAAAUGCGCAGAUAUCAGGAGGAACACCGGUGGCGAAGGCGGGUCUCUGGGCAGUUACUGACGCUGAGGAGCGAAAGCGUGGGGAGCGAACAGGAUUAGAUACCCUGGUAGUCCACGCCGUAAACGUUGGGCGCUAGGUGUGGGGGCCAUUCCACGGUCUCCGUGCCGCAGCUAACGCAUUAAGCGCCCCGCCUGGGGAGUACGGCCGCAAGGCUAAAACUCAAAGGAAUUGACGGGGGCCCGCACAAGCGGCGGAGCAUGUUGCUUAAUUCGAUGCAACGCGAAGAACCUUACCUAGGCUUGACAUGCACGGAAAUCUCGUAGAGAUACGGGGUGCCUUUGGCGUCGUGCACAGGUGGUGCAUGGUUGUCGUCAGCUCGUGUCGUGAGAUGUUGGGUUAAGUCCCGCAACGAGCGCAACCCUCGUUCUAUGUUGCCAGCACGUGAUGGUGGGGACUCAUAGGAGACUGCCGGGGUCAACUCGGAGGAAGGUGGGGAUGACGUCAAAUCAUCAUGCCCCUUAUGUCUAGGGCUGCAAACAUGCUACAAUGGCCGGUACAAAGGGCUGCGAUACCGCGAGGUGGAGCGAAUCCCAAAAAGCCGGUCUCAGUUCGGAUUGGGGUCUGCAACUCGACCCCAUGAAGUUGGAGUCGCUAGUAAUCGCAGAUCAGCAACGCUGCGGUGAAUACGUUCCCGGGCCUUGUACACACCGCCCGUCACGUCACGAAAGUCGGUAACGCCCGAAGCCGGUGGC